This 224-nucleotide microRNA precursor is filed under the name Myotis lucifugus (little brown bat). Its description in RNAcentral is "miRNA (ENSMLUG00000023775.1)". The record is from RNAcentral. Lineage: Eukaryota; Metazoa; Chordata; Mammalia; Chiroptera; Vespertilionidae.
UCCUUCUUAUUCUUCUUUCUCUUCCUCUUCCUCUUCCUCCUCCUCCUUCUUCUUUGCUUUAUCAGGCUUCAUUUGGGAGAGAGUCUGGCUUUGGUAUUAGCAGAUGAGCUAUAUGAAGAGAACCUUGAGAACCUGUGAACGUUUCACAGGAUGACAUCAUUUAAUUCCAUUGGCACAAGUCUUUCAUUUGGAGCCAUGAUAUCCUGCAUGUUAUGAAGUAGGUG